CUUUCUUCAUGGAGAAGGAUGUGUGCAUUGCAAUCCAAGCACAAUCAAAGGUGUGGUGGAGCAUCAAUAAUGUAGUGUUACUGGAGGUAUAAUUUUGACUUAGGAGAAUUGGCUAUGGUUUGGAGUGGAGGCAAUUGUGAAUUGGUGCAAUAGAAGAUGUGAGGUAGGAUUGUAGAAAUGAUACAAUGAGCAAAGGAUGAUGAGUAAGGUGGUUGUGGCACCUAUAUAAAAAUUAGUAGAGGGCGUGGUUGUGGACAAGGAGAAAGAAAAUAGGAUGGAGAUUGAGCAAAGUUUAGAGGAAUUGAUGGAGGAGAUUGGAACAAUAAAGAAGGAAGGAAAUUAUUGCAUAAAAUGCUUGAAAUGGCAAGAGUAAUUUUGGCCAAGUUAGAAGAAUAUAAGUUGUUUGUUAAUAUGUCUUAAUUCUCUUCUAAAUGAUUUUGUAUGGAUAAUAAUACUUGGAUGAAGUUUCUAUCUUAACAAGUUUGUUGAUUGUAUUGGUUUUGUUUAUUUUAAUUAAUUCACAAUCAUUUG
Molecule: long non-coding RNA, 531 nt
Filed under: Physcomitrium patens
Lineage: Eukaryota; Viridiplantae; Streptophyta; Bryopsida; Funariales; Funariaceae
Description: long non-coding RNA (PPAT_LNC013300)
Source: RNAcentral